AGUGAACGCUGGCGGUAGGCCUAACACAUGCAAGUCGAACGGCAGCACAGUAAGAGCUUGCUCUUACGGGUGGCGAGUGGCGGACGGGUGAGGAAUACAUCGGAAUCUACUUUUUCGUGGGGGAUAACGUAGGGAAACUUACGCUAAUACCGCAUACGACCUACGGGUGAAAGCAGGGGAUCUUCGGACCUUGCGCGAUUGAAUGAGCCGAUGUCGGAUUAGCUAGUUGGCGGGGUAAAGGCCCACCAAGGCGACGAUCCGUAGCUGGUCUGAGAGGAUGAACAGCCAAAAUGGAAACGAGAAAAGGUACAGAAACCUACGGGAGGGAAGAGGGGGGAAAAAUGGAAAAAGGGGGGAAAGCUGAAACAAGCAAAACGGGGGGGGGAAAAAAGGCUUGGGGGUGGAAAAGCCUUUUGGUGGGGAAAAAAAGGAGGAAGGUAAAAACCCGGCGGUUUGAAGGUAACCAAAAAAAAAGGAACGGGUAAAUUCGUG
Molecule: ribosomal RNA, 492 nt
Filed under: uncultured bacterium
Lineage: Bacteria
Description: partial 16S ribosomal RNA
Rfam family: Bacterial small subunit ribosomal RNA
Source: RNAcentral